GCAAAAAUGGGUUUCCUGGAGGCAGGUUAUGUUGGUUAUCGCUUGUUUCAUCUCUUGUAAGGCUAGCCUCCUUUUGUAGGACAAGUUGAGACAGGAAUAGAGUGGAGGCCAUGGUGGAGGUUGUUUUUGAUUAUGCUUUUAAGGUCUUGACUGAAGUUUUUCCACAAUCGGACCUUGCCCCCUGGAUCAGAGUGAGAAGAGGAAGUGAAGAAAAGGUGAAAGAGGAAGAGAAGCAACC
Non-coding RNA from Pelobates cultripes (western spadefoot toad), 238 nucleotides. NCBI's taxonomy places the organism in Eukaryota, Metazoa, Chordata, Amphibia, Anura, Pelobatidae. The record is from the annotation of a GenBank genome assembly.